CUCGUUCCAUUUUUGAUGCUGAUGAUCCCAUUGUUUCAGUCCGAAAGCUUUUCAUGUCUCCAUCUGCAAAGAGAGUGAAGACUUCUAAUGAAUCAUGCUAAGGUUUUUGAGAAACAGUGAUAGGGUUUGCAGGGUGAGAUGAUGAAC
Telopea speciosissima is the source of this 147-nucleotide long non-coding RNA. RefSeq lists it as uncharacterized. The transcript is spliced from 3 exons. NCBI's taxonomy places the organism in Eukaryota, Viridiplantae, Streptophyta, Magnoliopsida, Proteales, Proteaceae. The record is from RefSeq and is a predicted model, not a curated record.